UAAGGCGGCCAUAGCGGUGGGGUUACACCCGUACCCAUCCCGAACACGGAAGUUAAGCCCACCAGCGUUCCGGCGAGUACUCGAGUGCGCGAGCCUCCGGGAAAACCGGUUCGCCGCCUCCA
Molecule: ribosomal RNA, 122 nt
Organism: Halanaeroarchaeum sulfurireducens
Lineage: Archaea; Methanobacteriati; Methanobacteriota; Halobacteria; Halobacteriales; Halobacteriaceae
Source: Rfam